Long non-coding RNA from Electrophorus electricus (electric eel), 485 nucleotides. RefSeq lists it as uncharacterized. The record is from RefSeq and is a predicted model, not a curated record. NCBI's taxonomy places the organism in Eukaryota, Metazoa, Chordata, Actinopteri, Gymnotiformes, Gymnotidae.
AGUGAAAGGUUUUGUUUUUCAUUCUGAAGUGUACUCAGAGGGACACUAUGCCUUAUGGAUAUGCUUCAAACAAAUGCCAGACCUUAGGACAAAUCACACGGCAGUUUACACCUACCUUUGGAAGUUUUUUCACAGUUUUCAGUUGACAGAAUCCAAUGGAAACUCCAUUUCUGAGUCUGGCACUACAGUGGCAAUGGGUGGAAAUUCCCAGGAAGUGGAAAGGGAACUGGUAAUUUCCCGCUUUAGUGUUAAAAGAAACUUCAUGAGAAACCUGAAUGCCAGCAGUCUUACAAUGAAGCCUACAAUAACCCCAUUCUCUGCUCUCCUGGCUAUAGGCUUCUGCACCUACUUCACAGAGUUAUACUGCAGAAGGACAAACAGCCAGUGUGUUUAAGUCCUCACGGGAGGCAAGGCAACAGACUGUUAAAAUGCUGGUUCAAGAAGCAGGAGGAAGGCAAGGAUGGGAAGACAUGUAUCGGACGACU